This 403-nucleotide long non-coding RNA is filed under the name Rattus norvegicus (Norway rat). RNAcentral's name for it is "long non-coding RNA NONRATT030930". Lineage: Eukaryota; Metazoa; Chordata; Mammalia; Rodentia; Muridae. The record is from RNAcentral.
CUUAGCUCUAGAGAGUACGAACACUGAAAAAGAUGCAAGCCUAGAAGAAACAAAAAUUGGGGAGAUCCUAAUCCAGGGCCUGACAGAAGAUAUGGUGACCGUUCUAAUCCGAGCCUGUGUGAGCAUGCUGGGAGUCCCUGUGGGCCCGACCACUUUGCAUGCACCCUUCGGCCUCGUUUGAGAGCUCCUCGAGGCCACAAUUAUGCCCAUGAUGUUUGCAGAGCCUGAGAGUACCCGGAUUGGUUCUUGAGUUUGACCCAGAGCUCCAGGGUUUCCAAUGGGGUUUACCCCCCUUAGGUGUACCCUUCUCUUAAGAGCACAUUCAUUGAGGGAUGCCUUGCACUCUUCGUCAUACAAUGGAAAAGGUUGUUCGCUCAGCAGCUACAAGUGGAGCUGGAAGUAC